AUAAGCGGAGGAAAAGAAACCAACAGGGAUUGCCUCAGUAACGGCGAGUGAAGCGGCAACAGCUCAAAUUUGAAAUCUGGCCCUUUCAGGGUCCGAGUUGUAAUUUGUAGAGGGCGCUUUGGCGUUGGCAGCGGCCUAAGUUCCUUGGAACAGGUCAUCAUAGAGGGUGAGAAUCCCGUAUGUGGCUGCUUGUCUUCGCCGUGUAAAGCCCCUUCGACGAGUCGAGUUGUUUGGGAAUGCAGCUCUAAAUGGGAGGUAAAUUUCUUCUAAAGCUAAAUAUUGGCCAGAGACCGAUAGCGCACAAGUAGAGUGAUCGAAAGAUGAAAAGCACUUUGGAAAGAGAGUCAAAAAGCACGUGAAAUUGUUGAAAGGGAAGCGCUUGCAGCCAGACGUGCCCGCGGUUGAUCAGCUGAGGAUUUUCUCCAGCGUACUCUUCUUGUCGGGCAGGCCAGCAUCAGUCCGGGCGGUCGGAGAAAGACCUGUGUCACGUAGCUGCUCUCGGGCAGUGUUAUAGGGCAGGUGGAAUACGACCAGCCUGGACUGAGGUCCGCGCAUCUGCUAGGAUGCUGGCGUAAUGGCUGUAAGCGGCCCGUCUUGAAACACGGACCAAGGAGUCUAACAUCUAUGCGAGUGUUUGGGUGUCAAGCCCGAGCGCGUAAUGAAAGUGAACGGAGGUGGGAACCCUCGGGUGCACCAUCGACCGAUCCUGAUGUCUUCGGAUGGAUUUGAGUAAGAGCAUAGCUGUUGGGACCCGAAAGAUGGUGAACUAUGCCUGAAUAGGGUGAAGCCAGAGGAAACUCUGGUGGAGGCUCGCAGCGGUUCUGACGUGCAAAUCGAUCGUCAAAUUUGGGCAUAGGGGCGAAAGACUAAUCGAACUAUCUAGUAGCUGGUUCCUGCCGAAGUUUCCCUCAGGAUAGCAGUAACGUUUUCAGUUUUAUGAGGUAAAGCGAAUGAUUAGAGGCCUGGGGGCUGAAACAGCCUUCACCUAUUCUCAAACUUUAAAUAUGUAAGAAGUCCUUGUUUCUUAAUU
RNAcentral lists this ribosomal RNA (1030 nucleotides) under Byssosphaeria villosa. RNAcentral describes it as "eukaryotic LSU rRNA". It matches the Rfam family "Eukaryotic large subunit ribosomal RNA", at positions 46 to 1096 of the family's 3401-position model. Lineage: Eukaryota; Fungi; Ascomycota; Dothideomycetes; Pleosporales; Melanommataceae. The record is from RNAcentral.